GUGGGGAAUAUUGGACAAUGGGGGGAACCCUGAUCCAGCCAUGCCGCGUGUGUGAAGAAGGCCUUUUGGUUGUAAAGCACUUUAAGCGAGGAGGAGGCUACCGAGAUUAAUACUCUUGGAUAGUGGACGUUACUCGCAGAAUAAGCACCGGCUAACUCUGUGCCAGCAGCCGCGGUAAUACAGAGGGUGCGAGCGUUAAUCGGAUUUACUGGGCGUAAAGCGUGCGUAGGCGGCUUUUUAAGUCGGAUGUGAAAUCCCCGAGCUUAACUUGGGAAUUGCAUUCGAUACUGGGAAGCUAGAGUAUGGGAGAGGAUGGUAGAAUUCCAGGUGUAGCGGUGAAAUGCGUAGAGAUCUGGAGGAAUACCGAUGGCGAAGGCAGCCAUCUGGCCUAAUACUGACGCUGAGGUACGAAAGCAUGGGGAGCAAACAGGAUUAGAAACCCCGGUAGUCC
RNAcentral lists this ribosomal RNA (451 nucleotides) under uncultured bacterium. Its description in RNAcentral is "partial 16S ribosomal RNA". It matches the Rfam family "Bacterial small subunit ribosomal RNA", at positions 354 to 796 of the family's 1533-position model. The record is from RNAcentral.